Molecule: ribosomal RNA, 258 nt
Filed under: uncultured Syntrophus sp.
Lineage: Bacteria; Pseudomonadati; Thermodesulfobacteriota; Syntrophia; Syntrophales; Syntrophaceae
Description: partial 16S ribosomal RNA
Rfam family: Bacterial small subunit ribosomal RNA
Source: RNAcentral
AUUCAGUUGAGAACUCUAAUGAGACUGCCAGUGAUAAACUGGAGGAAGGUGGGGAUGACGUCAAAUCAUCAUGCCCCUUAUGACCUGGGCUACACACGUGCUACAAUGGCCGGUACAAAGAGUUGCGAAACUGUGAAGUUAAGCUAAUCUCAUAAAGCCGGUCUCAGUUCGGAUUGUAGUCUGCAACUCGACUACAUGAAGUCGGAAUCGCUAGUAAUCGCGAAUCAGAAUGUCGCGGUGAAUACGUUCUCGAGUCUU